GACGAACCGUACGAACGUUAUUCGGAAUCACUGGGCUUAAAGGGUGCGUAGGCGGCCGGGUAAGUCUGAUGUGAAAUCUCACAGCUUAACUGUGAAACUGCAUUGGAUACUAUCCGGCUCGAGGAAUGGAGGGGAGACUGGAAUACUUGGUGUAGCAGUGAAAUGCGUAGAUAUCAAGUGGAACACCAGUGGCGAAGGCGAGUCUCUGGACAUUUCCUGACGCUGAGGCACGAAAGCCAGGGGAGCAAACGGG
This 253-nucleotide ribosomal RNA is filed under the name uncultured bacterium. RNAcentral's name for it is "partial 16S ribosomal RNA". It matches the Rfam family "Bacterial small subunit ribosomal RNA", at positions 524 to 776 of the family's 1533-position model. The record is from RNAcentral.